Long non-coding RNA from Myotis davidii, 484 nucleotides. RefSeq lists it as uncharacterized. The record is from RefSeq and is a predicted model, not a curated record. The transcript is spliced from 2 exons. Lineage: Eukaryota; Metazoa; Chordata; Mammalia; Chiroptera; Vespertilionidae.
GCCCGGCCCCGGCUGGAGCCCGGGCAGCAGCUGCCCUCAGCCUUGCCGCAGCCUCGCCCAGACACCUUUUCAAGGCCCCCCCUCCACCUCCUGUUUUGGAGGUUGCCUCGCUCCAUUGCCCUCCGGGCGCCGCUCGGAAGCCCCACAUUCCCGGCAUAAGCAAUAACCCGGGUCCAGUUGCAGCCGGGGGGCAUGCCCAUAUGCAAUACACGCGCACGCGCGCGCGCUCUCGCCCGUACCCCCUGGGGCAUCGCACAGUUGCAAAAGGGAUUGUGUGUGCUUCCUCUUCCAAAAGGGCUUGGCCAGGGGGCCGGCUGGACUGCAGAUGUCUCUCCCAGGCUCCCGGAGAGCUCUCCUCCCAGCUGCCGUCUGCCUGCAAAACCUCCCACAACCCCACCCAGACCCUGGACGAGGGCCAACCAGCAUUUAUUAAACACCUUUUGAAUGCUCCCAGGCUGCUUCUGGCAAGAGAAGCAGGAGCCCC